Mustela erminea (ermine) is the source of this 4003-nucleotide long non-coding RNA. RefSeq lists it as uncharacterized. NCBI's taxonomy places the organism in Eukaryota, Metazoa, Chordata, Mammalia, Carnivora, Mustelidae. The record is from RefSeq and is a predicted model, not a curated record. The transcript is spliced from 3 exons.
AUAUAAUUACCAAUAGAUGGGGGCUAUCAGAGAACAGCUAUAAUCGAAGCUGACACAAAGAUUAUUUGUUUCAGAAAUCUUACAUCAGUGUGGCACUCUCUCCAAUUAUAGAAAGCUACAUUUAAAGAUAUUUUCAUGAACUAUAGAUGAUGUGGAAUAUGUUUCUGAGAACUAUAAUCAACUCAAUGAUAAGCAGAUUUUAAAAUAUCUAACAUCAAAUUGGUAUAUACUUACAUAUAGUUGCCAUAAGAAAAAGAAAAAUAUUGGUAAUAGGUUAACUACUAAGUAGAACGACAGACACUUGAAGUGGAGGGGAUUGGCAUUUUUUUGAAAAGAAAGCUAGGGAUCCAAAUACAAUAUCAGGAAAGAAAAAAUGAGUUAAAAGUGUAUAAGUAAGUGGAAGGUUCUUCCAUAAAGUUGACAGCAUUGAACUAAUCUACUAGAGAAUAAUUUGCUUUUAUGUCUUUAUGAUUUACAUCCAAAAGACUAAGAAUCUUUUCAAUCUCAACAAUGAUCUAGUCAAAAUGGAGGGUGUGUACCCAGAACUUUAGACUGGAGCUCACUUCAUAAUAGAAGAAUGUGCCAGCAGAUGCCUUGGAGCCUCCUGAGGUGACCCCCUCGAGUGACUACUAGUUUGUUGAGCAAGUUCUCUGAGAAUCCUGUGUCUAAUGGGCCAUCGCUUUGUGGUGAAGAUUUCAGGAAUGACAGAACUAUUCCACUAGGAUAGCUCUAAGAGAAUCCGUUUCAACACAGAAAACUGUGUUGUGUUUAAGGGCUAUACGCAGGCUGCGGUGAAGGAGAAGACCUUUCCUCUCGCCAGCUCCGAGGAGCCCUCAGCAUGUGUCCCAUAAUGCCUCCACAUGACGGGACGCUCGGUAAACAGUGAAAGAGACUUGCUGAGUUUAAUUAUGUAUGUGAUACCGAAUGCUGGUAUAAAUGCAUGAACACACGGUUUUAAUUGAAUAUAUUUAUCUCUCGGAAGGAAUUUACAGAAUUCUAUUAGAUCAUCUUGAUAUUUGCCUUUUAGCUUGUCUUUAAAUUGUAGAUUAAUGACUUCCAGUUGAAGGUUAGGUGGAAACUCUUCAAUUGCAAAGUAAAAUGCAUUUUGAAAAAUGCGAAUUUCCCUUGCCCUCCUCGAGGCUUGAAAAGUGCUGUGGGACUAUAGUUUGAGCUCUGAAAAUAUAUCUGCUACAAAUUUCUGUGAAAAUGGGAGAUCUCACUUCUUGAUUUAACUUUGUAGCGAGAGUGGCUACAGCAGCUUGACAUUACUUGUGAUUCAAACAACAUCAGCGUUCUCAAAAUUACUUUGUAGCAGAGUGAGUGUAAUACAUGGACGCUGUUUGCUUGCAAUUUUAGAUUGAAUUUAUUAAGAAAGAUUAUCAAAUCUGCAGCAAAUAUGUAUUUCUGAAGCCAACUUGACAUAAAUCACAGUGGCUGAAGGUUAAACUUGGCCAUGAGGCUGUACAUUUCAGCCCUGUUCUAAAGGCUACCAAAGGCCAUGGUUUGCAUUGUUCCACUAUAAAUAUUCAUUGUUUUUUAUUUGUCUUGAGCAAGAUGUAGAGAACCCUUAUAGUGGCCAUCCUUUCAUGAAUUUCUUGAACAAUCAUUUGCUGAGGGCUCACCAUGUUAUUUGAAGUCUACUAGGUGCCAGGGAACUAAAAACAGCCGCAUUGGAGACACGGGAGCCACAUUCCCAUAUAAUACAGUACAUGUGGAAAAGAAAUAUGCAAAUGUACUAUAGGAGCAAAGUGAAGAAAGCCAAUUAAUUGUGAUUUAUCCGACUUAUCAGACUGUAUUUGAAUCCGAUGGGAAAGGGGAAGAUAUCAGGUCCUAGUCAUAAAGCAUCUGUAGUAAUUUCCUAAGGAGAGAAGUCAAGAAAGGGAACUCCAGGCAAAGAGACCACGUCGUACACAGAGGGCUGGAGGCGUGAGAAGAUGCCAGAGCCACGAGGGCCAGUGGAAGCCAAGUGGAAGGAGAGGAGAGGGCAGGGAAGACGUGGCUGGAGAGGCCGGAGGUCACUGAGGUGGCCUAGGGAGCCAGAGCUCACAAGCUCCGAUACGCAAACAAAUCACCUGGACAACUGGACAAGUGCGAUGUCCCAUCCAGUUGCUGGGGCUUCCGCUCUGCCCUCCUAACAAGACCCCAGGCGGCGGUGAUACGGCGGCUGGAGGAGGACCACGCGUGAACAGCAAGACUCCCGGCGACGCUAAGGUCUGAGCCCUCCCCCCUCUGCUGUGGAUCCUUUGCUCGGGGAAGUGACACAACCAAACUCUGGCAUUUCAAAGACAAAGCGGUAGCUAGAAGGGGUAUGGACACAUGUAGGAAGAGAAGCUUGUUCAGGAGAAGAAUCCUGAGAGCCCACGGUAAGAUGUGAUAAUGAUGACACACACUGUAAAAACACUCAACAGGAGUUUGCCGACUGGCACUGACAGGAGUGUAAAACUACUGCAAAUUGUUACUCCAGCGGCACCUGCCUGCCAACAUCUGAUCAGCGGCGCCUCUCGUGCACCUUUCACUCUUUCCUCGCUGACGUCGGAGCCCACGGGGCCGCUGGGCUCUGCCUCUGACCCUGCGGCACGGAGUGGGAUCACCCGACUCCCCCCACUUUAAGACAAACAUGCACGAACGCCAUCAUCAUGAAAAUGAACGUCUAGUCUGCAGAUCGGAGGGCUUGUGGGGCACCGUAGGGGCGAGCACUCAUACUCUUCUCUCUCUGUGGCUUCAUUUGCACUGAUUUAUCCAUCUCUCCAUCUCAGCGGUUAUCAACUGCAUCCCCUGUCACUAACCUGAGAAUGCAGAGAAGCUUUCCCUAUUGAAGACAUUCUAAUGGGGCUCUGCGGGUCACCUGACAAAAGCUGGCAGAAGUGAUAGAUGCUGUGUUCUUCCUUCUGUGGAGUUGGAUGCUUUCCACCAUCGCUGGGUCAAAUUAGGACUCCUGAGAAUAAUAUCUGGAUCCCCUACAUAGUUCUGAAAUGCCAUGAUCUUCUGAAUGGAUAAGAUCAGCAAGUAUUUCAAAUUUAUGUAGUCAACCUCGGAGAACUAGACUGAACACAUAAAACUUUUCAGAUGACAGAAAACAUGAAUAAGCAGGUAGAAAAUGGGUUUCUUGGCUGACAUAUGGCAAAUGAAGUUUAAACACGUAAGGACAGGAGAGUAAUUCAUAUUGAUUGUAAAACUAAAAGGAAACACAAAUAUAUUCUUCCAGUAUUUCAAAUUUUGUCAUCACAAGUCAUGGGUGCCUUCUUAUUCCCCCGAACCCACCCUCUGCACAACAUGCACAUCCCUUCUGAAGACUAGAUAUUAGUCACUCUAACACCAUUUUGUUUCUUGCAUAGUAGUUACCCUUCAGGUUUUUAAAAUCCAUAAUAUACCCAGGAUUAAGUCUUUCCCACUAGUUGGUAGGAUCUUCUAUUCUCUCAAAAGCUGUUAUGACCAAACUUCUCACAGAAGAGGCACUAAUUAAUUAGGAAAGCAUACCGUGAAAGAGCCAUUCCUGUUUAUUGUCCCAAACAUCACCUUAUGAAAUUAUACACUACAGAAAUAUAUUUUUUAAGUUUUCUCGUUUGGAAGGGAACUUGUUUAGAAACUAGUGUGUCUCUAGGGUUUGAGAAAUUACCUUCUUUGUCUUAGUUCUAACUGAAUAUUAUCUUAAAGUAGAAGUCAGGUCUUAAGACAUAUGCAGUAGAAAGGAGAUGAAUGAGUAAAACAGAUAAAACUGUUACUCAGGUAUUAUAUAAAGAAAGUCCACUUACGCAAUAAGAAGAAAAAUCAUUCACCACAACUUCAACUCAAAAAGUAUACCUUGUAAUUUUUAAAAAAAAUAAAUGUUAUAGAAUUAUAAAUGUUCUUGUAUUAUAACCAGUAUUAUACUGUAUUGACUGUUUCACUUAGACAUCGUUCUAAAGGGUUAAUUGUUAAAUUCACCAAGAAUAUCCUUAUACUUGCACUAUGCCGUGAAUUAAGUUCAGACAAAAAAUAUUUUAGAGAAAGUUUAAUACAUUUU